This 262-nucleotide ribosomal RNA is filed under the name uncultured bacterium. Its description in RNAcentral is "partial 16S ribosomal RNA". It matches the Rfam family "Bacterial small subunit ribosomal RNA", at positions 524 to 776 of the family's 1533-position model. The record is from RNAcentral.
UACGUAGGGUGCGAGCGUUGUCCGGAAUUAUUGGGCGUAAAGAGCUUGUAGGCGGUUUGUCGCGUCUGCUGGUUGAAAAUUCCCAGGGCUUUAACCCUGGGCUUGCAGUGGGUACGGGGCAGACUAGAGUGUGGUAGGGGAGACUGGAAAUUCCUGGUGUAGCGGUGAAAUGCGCAGAUAUCAGGAGGAACACCGAUGGCGAAAGGGCAGGUCUCUGGGCCACUACUGACGCUGAGAAGCGAAAGCAUGGGGAGCGAACAGG